ACAACACCAGGCUCCUUCCAUCCACACACCACAACCACACCAGGCUCCUUCCAUUCAGGAACCACCACAGCAGGGUCGACAGCGACAGAAAAGAGCCAAAAAAGUUAAAGAUUGCCCUCACAACCAGCUUGACAUGUUCCCAGUCAGUGAAAUAAUAAAGACAAGGAUCAGAAAGGGGAGGAUGGAACACCUUUAUAACUGGCAGCCCUGCACUCUAUG
Molecule: long non-coding RNA, 219 nt
Organism: Perca fluviatilis (European perch)
Lineage: Eukaryota; Metazoa; Chordata; Actinopteri; Perciformes; Percidae
Exons: 3
Source: RefSeq, a predicted model, not a curated record